AAGUCGUAACAAGGUUUCCGUAGGUGAACCUGCGGAAGGAUCAUUAAAGAGUACCGGAGCUCUCGGGUUCCUACUCCCACCCUAUGAUGACUUUAAAUGUUGCUUUGGCGGACCGGCAAUAUUGCCACCGGCCUAGGCUGGAGAGCGUCCGCCAGAGGAUUUUUAAAUUCCUUUGAAUGUGAAUUCUGAGUCUUUGAAAAUUGAAUCAAAACUUUCAACAACGGAUCUCUUGGUUCUG
RNAcentral lists this unclassified non-coding RNA (238 nucleotides) under Hysteriales sp. RNAcentral describes it as "partial contains small subunit ribosomal RNA, internal transcribed spacer 1, and 5.8S ribosomal RNA". The stretch from base 1 to 46 matches the Rfam family "Eukaryotic small subunit ribosomal RNA", at positions 1786 to 1831 of the family's 1831-position model. The record is from RNAcentral. Lineage: Eukaryota; Fungi; Ascomycota; Dothideomycetes; Hysteriales.